Molecule: unclassified non-coding RNA, 80 nt
Filed under: Epilithonimonas hungarica
Lineage: Bacteria; Pseudomonadati; Bacteroidota; Flavobacteriia; Flavobacteriales; Weeksellaceae
Description: Chryseobacterium hungaricum Flavo-1 RNA
Source: RNAcentral
AGUGCGCCCCGACUUGAACGGAGCUCUUUUUCUUUUUUUAUGAAAAAAGAAAAAAGCGGGAGUGGAAGGCGGAUAAAGGC